This 442-nucleotide ribosomal RNA is filed under the name uncultured bacterium. Its description in RNAcentral is "partial 16S ribosomal RNA". It matches the Rfam family "Bacterial small subunit ribosomal RNA", at positions 338 to 795 of the family's 1533-position model. The record is from RNAcentral.
CCUACGGGAGGCAGCAGUGGGGAAUAUUGGGCAAUGGGCGCAAGCCUGACCCAGCAACGCCGCGUGAAGGAAGAAGGCUUUCGGGUUGUAAACUUCUUUUAACAGGGAAGAGCAGAAGACGGUACCUGUCGAAUCAGCCACGGCUAACCAGGUGCCAGAAGCCGCGGUAAUACGUAGGUGGCAAGCGUUGUCCGGCUUUACUGGGUGUAAAGGGCGUGUAGCCGGGCUGACAAGUCCGAUGUGAAAUCCGGGGGCUCAACCCCCGAACUGCAUUUGACACUGGUGGUCUUGAGUAUCGGAGAGGCAGGCAGAAUUCCAGGUGUAGCGGUGAAAUGCGUAGAGAUUAGGAGGAACACCAGUGGCGAAGGCGGCCUGCUGGACGACGACUGACGGUGAGGUGCGAAAGCGUGGGGAGCAAACAGGAUUAGAUACCCUUGUAGUC